This is a small nuclear RNA of Pteronotus mesoamericanus, 106 nucleotides long. The record is from RefSeq and is a predicted model, not a curated record. NCBI's taxonomy places the organism in Eukaryota, Metazoa, Chordata, Mammalia, Chiroptera, Mormoopidae.
GUGCUCGCUUUGGCAAGCACAUGUACUAAAAAUGGGAACAACAGAGAGAUCAGCACAGCCCCUCUACAAGGAUGACAUUCAAGUUCAUGAAGCGCUCCAUUUUUUU